GGCCGCCUGGCGAAAUGGCAUCGCGUCUGACUACGAAGGUGCUUAGGUCAGCAUCAGACAAUCAGGAGAUUGCAGGUUCGACCCCUGCGGUGGUCA
Molecule: non-coding RNA, 96 nt
Organism: Phlebopus sp. FC_14
Lineage: Eukaryota; Fungi; Basidiomycota; Agaricomycetes; Boletales; Boletinellaceae
Source: the annotation of a GenBank genome assembly